GGAGGUGUUGCUCAGUGGUAGAGCACUUGCCUAGCAUGCACAAGGCCCUGGGUUCCAACCUCAGCACCACAA
Molecule: transfer RNA, 72 nt
Filed under: Ictidomys tridecemlineatus (thirteen-lined ground squirrel)
Lineage: Eukaryota; Metazoa; Chordata; Mammalia; Rodentia; Sciuridae
Description: Spermophilus tridecemlineatus (thirteen-lined ground squirrel) tRNA
Rfam family: tRNA
About the family: Transfer RNA (tRNA) molecules are approximately 80 nucleotides in length.
Source: Rfam by way of RNAcentral